RNAcentral lists this ribosomal RNA (458 nucleotides) under uncultured Derxia sp. RNAcentral's name for it is "bacterial SSU rRNA". It matches the Rfam family "Bacterial small subunit ribosomal RNA", at positions 920 to 1382 of the family's 1533-position model. Lineage: Bacteria; Pseudomonadati; Pseudomonadota; Betaproteobacteria; Burkholderiales; Alcaligenaceae. The record is from RNAcentral.
CCCGCACAAGCGGUGGAUGAUGUGGAUUAAUUCGAUGCAACGCGAAAACCUUACCUACGCUUGACAUGUCAGGAACCUCGAAGAGAUUUGAGGGUGCCCGAAAGGGAACCUGAACACAGGUGCUGCAUGGCUGUCGUCAGCUCGUGUCGUGAGAUGUUGGGUUAAGUCCCGCAACGAGCGCAACCCUUAUCAUUAGUUGCUACGCAAGGGCACUCUAAUGAGACUGCCGGUGACAAACCGGAGGAAGGUGGGGAUGACGUCAAGUCCUCAUGGCCCUUAUGCGUAGGGCUUCACACGUCAUACAAUGGUCGGUACAGAGGGUUGCCAACCCGCGAGGGGGAGCCAAUCCCACAAAGCCGAUCGUAGUCCGGAUUGCAGUCUGCAACUCGACUGCAUGAAGUCGGAAUCGCUAGUAAUCGCGGAUCAGCAUGUCGCGGUGAAUACGUUACCCGGGUCUU